RNAcentral lists this ribosomal RNA (372 nucleotides) under uncultured organism. RNAcentral describes it as "bacterial SSU rRNA". It matches the Rfam family "Bacterial small subunit ribosomal RNA", at positions 526 to 896 of the family's 1533-position model. The record is from RNAcentral.
CGUAGGGUGCGAGCGUUAAUCGGAAUUACUGGGCGUAAAGUGUGCGCAGGUGGCCGCGCAAGUCGAGUGUGAAAUCCCCGAGCUUAACUUGGGAAUUGCGCUCGAAACUACGUGGCUCGAGUGUGGCAGAGGAAGGUGGAAUUCCACGUGUAGCGGUGAAAUGCGUAGAGAUGUGGAGGAACACCGAUGGCGAAGGCAGCCUUCUGGGCCAACACUGACGCUCAUGCACGAAAACGUGGGGAGCAAACAGGAUUAGAUACCCUGGUAGUCCACGCCCUAAACGAUGAUGACUAGUUGUUGGAGGAGUUAAAUCCUUUAGUAACGCAGCUAACGCGUGAAGUCAUCCGCCUGGGGAGUACGGUCGCAAGAUUA